RNAcentral lists this long non-coding RNA (3925 nucleotides) under Meleagris gallopavo (turkey). RNAcentral describes it as "lncRNA (ENSMGAG00000017946.1)". Lineage: Eukaryota; Metazoa; Chordata; Aves; Galliformes; Phasianidae. The record is from RNAcentral.
UCUUGACUGUCGAGUGCUCCAUGUCCCCUGUGAGAAAAGGAGAUGUUGCUGCAGUCACAUUUUGGUUUUUCUUUUCUAGGCUCAAAUCCCCAGUCACUAAUAUGUCCCUUGCAUUCCCCUAUUUUUCAAAAUGCUGUGAAGCAUAUGCUGGUCACUGGAUUUUUUGGUGGCUUAGACUCUAUCAUCCACCUCAGUCUUAACCACAAUGCAGAUUUCACCAGUCCAGCACACACUUAACAGGCUCUUUUUUGUUAUUAGCUCACCUGGAUUUUGCCAUGGAUGGCCAGCUGAUGGCUUUGAUUGGUGCUGUGUCUUUGUUUUUGGUAUGGACUUAAUUUCUGCAAGGUACUCGAAGUAAGCAUGCACAUCUUGCUUUUUGUACAGAGUCAGUUCAGCAAAGAGAUGAGCCAUGCGGAUAGAAGGACCGAGCUGGCAGCAAAACCUGACUGUAUGAGCUGACCCUGUUCGGUGCAAACAGCCCAUACUGGUGGGAUGGCUGGAGGCACCCCAAGCGUGCUGCACUGGUGCAGUGGGGUUGCAUUGCCAGAACGCUGGAUGCAGAGCUGGGAGAAAAGCAGAGGAGCUGCCAGAACUGCCCGGAUGUACGGUGUGUGCACAGAGGAAACAUGAGCCAUUGCACCAGCUAUUUGGCAGUUGAGGAGUACACCGGGCCUUCUCCAAAACGAUAAUUACCUGGGAUCUCUGCUCUACUCUCCAUCCCAUUAGAAAAGUGAGGAUGAAAGGUCCAAAGAGAAUGUGAACAGCAGAUGAGCUUGUGCUCAAUAUGGACAGGUGUGCAUCCUUGGGCAGAGCGAUUGCAGAAGCAUCCCUGCCUCCCAGCCAGAGGAGUGCAUCGACAGCAAUGCGGAAAGAGGGUGUUGGGACUCCCAUCCAUCCUUCCCUUAUCCAUAGCCUACACACGAGCCCAGACAGCCCGAGCACAGCUUCCCAGGAGGCAAACCGAAGCCUUGCUGCCUGAAUCACCGCAGCCGAUGACCAGACCACGGCCCCAGCGCUCAGGACGGGCGUCUCCAGCUCCGCCAGGGCCAGUGGGACCACUGCAUCCAUAACUCCUCCCUGUGCAAGCAGUCGUUGCACAACCUGGCCCUUCCAUUAGGAAGUGAGCCAUCCUAACGAACAACUGACCAUGAACAUCCUAGACGCAAUUUCUACACAAUUGUUGCUAUUUUAUCAUCGGUUCUUACGUUUUUGCGGCUGUUCCUGCUUUAGAAAAAAAAAAAGGAGGAAACAAAGUGAGCUCUUUUAUGAAUUGCUUUUCUUAGUAAUUUAUGAUUAAUGGGGUAAAUCUUGGAAUCCCUACUCAGUUUUCACUUUUUGUAACCCAAGGCUUCUGUUUAUUCAUGUUUUGUAACAGAACUGUGAAGUAUUUCCUUUUAGCCCAAGGCACCUAAUCAGGAUUAGGCCUGGAGCAGAAUAUCUUACAUUCCUGCGUUCCAAGAGUACCUUGAUGUGGAAUUAUCUUUUGUCAACCACAGACUGAAUAUUCAUUUACACCACUUUUUUUUUUCUUCUUCUUCUUUUUUUAAUGUAUUUUAUGGCCUAUUUGAUCAACUGAUUCUGAAUGGAUCUAUUCUCAGCUCUGCAUUUUGUGGAUGUGAGUCUUACUAACAUUUUAGCUGCAAGUUGAUCGUGUUGAAAGUGGGAGAAGAAUUUGGUUUGUGAAGCUAUCACUCUGUGGGUCUGGGUGCCAUUCACUGCAGUGUGGUCUGUGUAGGGGUGUGCUGCUGCAUGGCAUACAGGUUCUGGGUCUCAGUUCUACAGGAGCUCAGCCUCAAGCAACUCAUACUUAGUUCCAGGUUCACGCAGCAUCUGCUGUGCAGCAGUGACCGUAUCUCCUCCUACCUGUUGGCACUUCAUCUUGCUCUGUGGACUGACAAGCACUGCAAUCUUUACAAGAAGCUUUGCUUUUUUUCCCAAAUCCUGGCUCUUCUGAAACAGCAUCUGAUUUGCAGCAGCUUGAAGUAACAGUCUGUCCUUGUGUCUCCAGUGGGUGAAGAUGAGUGACUUGGAGGGAGACAGAACCAAAUGGAGGCGGUGUCUGUCCAGGAUGCUGCUUUUACUCAAUGCCUCAUUAUCAAAGCCAAACUGAAAUGAAGAGCUUUUUUGCAAUUACAAUAAUAGGCAGCUUUAUUUAAGUAAAAAUUGCUUUAACUGAAAGUGCCCUGAUGUGGGAUGAGGUUUUUUCUUGGUUCUGUCUGGUGUUUAGAAAGGUCUCUGUAGCUUUGACUCACCUAUUUUAAUUUUUAAAAGGUUUAUGUCUAGUUACAGCACAGACGUAUUAUUACACAUCAAGGUCUUAGUCAUUGUGUUCCCUUGUGUGUGCUUUACUCAUUUAGAUUUAUCUGAGUGGAGGGAGAGAGCCUGGAGGGAGUGGGAAGAGAAGGGUAAGCAGAUUGAAGGAAGGGUCCCACUUACCUUUGGGAACAGCUGGCCUUUAUUUUUUUUUGUUAUUAUUUUUGUCUGACUGACUAAAGAAUGAUGCUUCUGUGAAAGAAUGAGAAGUCAAGAAAAACACUUUUUUCUAAGGCAACUUUCUGAGUUGUACACUGUACUGGAGAAUCCCAUUGAGUUGUAAUGUCAGAUCUCACCUCUCCACAUAACUUUUAUAUUUACAGUACAUUAUUUGCUUUUAUUUUUAUACAAAGGGAUUACUUGUUCCUUCUUUAUUAUUAUUAUUUUUCCUUUUCCGUUAGUGUGGUGUGAUGUACUCAGAGAGCUGGACUGUUACAGUAGUGCUUGGCAGACCUUCCUCAAGAACUGAGCAAAACUUUGGCCUUUGCUUUUCCAAAAUCAAACUCUGCAGCAGGAGUGUGUAGGUCAGGCUUAUCUCCCACCCAUCAGCUUGGUUCUGUGGGGUUCAGCCCUCACUCUGCUCUGCUCCAUCACUCUUACUCCCCACCCUUCCUGCUCCAUCUGUGGUCUGCUGAGCCACACAAGAGAAUCAGGACACCCAGACCUCCUCUUGACCCCAUGCAGGACUCUGUGUGCAGCGUGAGUCACUUCACCAGGCAAGGAAGUUUGGCCUCGUUUUGCCUGGAUAUUGGGCAAAUUGCAUCACCGGGCUCCUGACGGGACAGCUGUGGUCUCUGGGUCUUCCUGGCCUGGUGAGGGAAGCAAUGAGCUGGCACAGAGGUGAGGUGAUGCUGCCCAGCAGGAAUGGCCAUUGCAGCCCCCAAGGCAGCCUGGGAAUGGUGUGGCUCCCCUUCAUUACGUCUUCAGGCAGGGGCUAAUUAGUGAGUGUAAAAAAGAGGAUUACUAAAGAAUGCCAACACGUCAGGAGAACUUCUGUGAGAUGAAGCAAGCACAUUAUGAAGAGGAAAAGGAUUGGGUGCGUACAGGGAAAACAGGGAAGGACACGUCUGUAAAUUCAUACAAAGAAAGGAAGCCAAUUACUUCUCAGCCUGUCCUGAACGCAGCUCUGUUUGCUUGUUGUUGCUUUUACCAACAGGGAAGUCAGCCUUUUAAAUCUCUCUGGCUGCGCAGGUGGUAGUGUAAGUAGCAUAAAACAGAACUUGUCAAAUCCAGGAAUCUGGCUUGUGGAGAGCAAAUCCCAGAAUGAGAGGAAAAAAAAAAACCAACAAAAAAACGUCAACCUCAAAACAAAACAAAAACACGAUACCUAAACCAGACUUCCACUUCUGGGAUCAGAUCAAAACAACAAAAAGCCCAGAAAGAUUAAACUAAGCUCAGCUCAAAUUAGUUUAUUGUGUAGCAUGUUUCUCGAGGCAGAAGAGUUUACUUUGGAAUUAAAGCACACACACAAAACAUAGCCCUCAACUGGACGUUCGGCGUGCUAAUAGUUUGCAGAGGAGUUCAGGGAAGUUGACUCUAAAAAACAGAUGGGUGUCGAGAGGCACCGUUGAGGUCUCCGCAUUCCUCUCCGCGUAUUGACAUGGGGUUGUUG